Magnolia sinica is the source of this 1279-nucleotide RNA transcript. It is a transcript of the gene named protein IN2-1 homolog B-like, with no coding region annotated. The record is from RefSeq and is a predicted model, not a curated record. NCBI's taxonomy places the organism in Eukaryota, Viridiplantae, Streptophyta, Magnoliopsida, Magnoliales, Magnoliaceae. The transcript is spliced from 11 exons.
GGCCUUACUUGUUAGCAAUUCGUCAUUCCUGACGUUAGGCUACUUCCCUCAGAAGUCCUGCAUUUUUACCAAAAAAUGCAGCCGCAGACCACGAUUUCUUAAACAACCUCCUCCUCCUCGAAUCUACCGGACUACAUUCCUAUCUAAGAAAAGCACCAAAAUCUCACUCCAAGCAAUGGCAACCGGAAUGUUGCAGGAGGUUCUUCCCCCAGUCCUGGAUUCUACUUCCGAACCACCGACCCUUUUCGAUGGAACCACGAGGUUGUAUAUAUCUUAUAUGUGCCCAUAUGCACAACGCACAUGGAUCGCUAGAAAUUAUAAGGGAUUGCAGGAUAAAAUAAAAUUGGUUGCUAUUGAUCUGCAAAAUAGGCCUGAUUGGUACAAGGAGAUGGUCUACCCUGGAAAUGAGGUGCCUUCGUUGGAGCACAACAAUGAAGUCAAAGGAGAGAGUUUGGAUUUGGUCAAAUACAUCGAUAUCAAUUUCGAAGGCCCGGCGCUUCUCCCUGAUGAUCCUGCCAAGAAGGAGUUUGCAGAAGAGCUGCUUUCGUACUCUGAUACCUUCAAUUCUGUCAACUUCAGAUCACUUCCCCCGAAGGGUUUAUCAGAUGAAGUUGGUGCUGCCUAUGAUCAUCUAGAAAGCGCUCUUUCCAAAUUUGAUGAUGGGCCAUUUUUCCUUGGCCAGUUCAGUGUGGUGGAUAUUGCUUAUGCUCCAUUCAUUGAAAGAUUCCAAAACUUCCUUCUGGAAUUAAAGAAAUAUGACAUCACCACAGCCAGGCCAAAGCUGGCUGCAUGGAUUGAGGAGCUGAAGAAGAUCGAUGCCUACACACAAACCAUACCGGAUCUGAAGAAACUAUUUGAAGGUUACAGGAAACGUUUCCUGGCCAAAUGAAGAAAUGGAUACUGCAUGGAUCUCUAGCAGUUUUAUCAUCACCUAGUUUAUAAUAGUGAAGAGCUCAUGCAUGCAUGAGUUAGGAUUUGCCUUAAAUAAUCUGUUUAUAUUAGUAGUAAUGAACUCUGUGAAUUUCUUAAUGGAACAUAUAUCUUUGUAAAUGUUAGGGCUGUCCUUAAAUAAUUUGGUUGUAUGGGACCAUUGAUCCUUGACAAUAUUCAUCUUGAACUUUAUCAUCUAUUUGUAAGUUGUUUGGAGUACGCCUUCUUUAUGAAAGAGUAUUUUUAGGUGGGAAGCUUUUUAUUUACUCUGUACAAACUAGCAAGUGGCCCUUGCAGUGCAUCUGGACGUGUCAUAUAAAACCCCAACAUGUCUGUGGUGAAAAAAGCA